Long non-coding RNA from Chenopodium quinoa (quinoa), 1851 nucleotides. RefSeq lists it as uncharacterized. The transcript is spliced from 3 exons. Lineage: Eukaryota; Viridiplantae; Streptophyta; Magnoliopsida; Caryophyllales; Amaranthaceae. The record is from RefSeq and is a predicted model, not a curated record.
GGUGUACUAAUACAACGACCUGAAAGGCUAUUGCCACGACAGUUCACUCCGUAUGAAAAUGCGCUUAAAGUUCACUCUCUUCUCAGAUCUCACCACCUCAAUUCUCUCUCCUCUCUCUUUCUCUCCUUCUCCCUAUUCUCUUCCUCAAAGACGAAGGCAACCAUCACCGCAGCCGUAACCACAUCCACAACCACCGUCGCUCACAAAAUUAAAUUCUCUCUCUUUCUUCUCCCUCCUCAUUCACUGAUGGUCAUGGUGGUGAUGAUGGUCGCGAGUGAUAACGACGUUGCGGUUCGAUUUUUAGGGUUUUGAUUGGUGUUCAUGGUAUAAGCUUCUUUAAACUUUCCUCUUUAAAUGUCAAAUUUAGGGUUCCUUUGCAUAAUUACUAGUUCAAAUUUUUGAUUUUUUUUUUCGAUUUCUAGGGUUUCCAUUUGUAACUGUUGGCGGUGGUGGAAAGCAGCGAUGGUGAGUUUUGAUUUGUAAUUGAUGGCGGUGGUGGAGAGUUGCUGAACUAACGUCGCUCGAACUCCGGCUUCGUGCCCUGAUCUUUGAGUAAGCCUUCUCUCUUUAUCUCUCCUUUUUCUUCUUUCUCGCUACUUUCUCCCCUGUUUCAAUUAUUGUUCCAAUUUUGACAAUUAUACACUUAGGGAUAUUCAAUCAAUUGACAAUUUAAUGUUAAUCAGGAACAUCAUCAUUGUCUGUGGUAGUUGGUGAGAGUGAUUUGCUAAUUGUUGGACCUGGUGUUCUUGGUCGCUUGGUAGCUCAAUAAUGGAGUCAGAUCGUUGAAUUCUAAUAGUUUAAGCGGGUCAAUACCAAGUUCAAUUGGUAAUCUUUCUAAGCUUUAUUGGCUGGAUCUUGCUGAAAACAAGCUUACUGGAACAUUACAUGUCUCAAAUGGCACUAAACCAGGUCUUGAUAUGCUGCAUAGUUGUAAGCACUUAUAUCAACUCUCUGGCUCAAUUCCACCUCAGCUACUCCAUGAAAAUAUGACAUUUGCUUAUUCAUUUGUACGUACCCUGAAAGAAAUUUAAUAAGAUAUAGAUGUUGUCAUUAACAUAUAUUCACUGGUAACACUGCAAAUUUGAAUGAAUACUGUUUUUUUAUUUAUUUAUUUAUUUUAUUUUUUUUAUUGCAUUGCAGGUUUGUUCUAUAUAUGUAUAUCUCUAACCCCUUGUGAGUUCUUGCUUAGUUUUUACUCUUGAUUCCAAACUAAAUUUUCCUUUACUAAAUUUCUAUCUUGUAAUUAUACUAGAAUUUAGUUGAUUUUUUUUCUUUUCUUGAAUAUCUCUAUUUAGAUUAAUAGUUUUAGAUAAAAAUUUUAGGUGUAUUGGGAUUACCUCGGAUUUACCUUAUACGAAGCAAGGGUAUUUUUAGUUGUAGUGCCAUGUUAUUGGUUUAAACCGCUGUUGUUAAAUUGUUAUGUUGUUUGGGUGGUGCUUGCUGCUAUUCCUUUUACCUUGUACAUUGAUGUUGUCGUUUCUACUAUAUAAUCUGCUACUAUAUCUACUCUAUAAUGUUGCUACUGCCUCUGCUUUAUAAUGUUGCUGCUGCCCCUGCUGUAAUUUUGCUGACUUGCUGCCUUGCAGACGAUGACAACUAUCUCUCCGGCUACAAAACAUCACUCUCCGGCUUCAAGAUAGAUUUUGGUUUUUGUAGUAUAUGUUGUAGCAGCCAAACAAAUGUUGAAAACAUUGUAUUUGGGAACAGUGAUUUAGCUUUGAUAGGAUUUUUUUUUUUUUUUUUUUUUUUUUUUUUUUCUCAAUUAAUUUAAUUAGUGAAAUUUGAUAUUGUAACUCUUCCCUUUAAGAGCAAUAAUGUACAAACCUUCAAUUUAUAUUAAUGAAAUUCCAA